This 959-nucleotide long non-coding RNA is filed under the name Homo sapiens (human). RNAcentral describes it as "non-protein coding lnc-CD180-9:1". Lineage: Eukaryota; Metazoa; Chordata; Mammalia; Primates; Hominidae. The record is from RNAcentral.
GUGUAACAGGCACAUUGUAGGUUUUCAUCAGCUGGGUCUGAGUCUGGUAGGAUGGGAAAGUGAGGCCUGCCUGACUUGCAUAGUGAGGAAAUCUUGGAAUUAGAACAACACAUACAUAGCGGGUGAGUUACAGGGGUGGGCUCACAUUUCUCGUUUUACCUUGACACUGGUUCAUAUCAAGUGGACUUUACUACUAUUUUGAGUUCUCCUUCCUAAAUUUCUAGCUUCCAGUUUGAGAUUAGAACUAUUUCUUCGUCACCAGGAUAGCAAGCUCUUUUGUGUCUUUUUGUCUGAAGAAAAAUAGUUCUCAGAGUUCCCCCUCCCAUCCCACCAUUCUACACACAGUAUUGCCUUGGACUUGCCCUACUCCAGGAUUCAGCCCCCAGGAUCUGACCCACAACAUUGCCUUGGCCUAUAAAAUUUUCAUUUUGUUCCCUUUAAAAAUAAAUGCAGUGUUUUUAUACUGAAACAAGGAUGCAUCCCACAUGGUCAAACAUAAUUCAAACAGAGCAGUGUGUGUAUUCAAUGAAAAGUCUCCCUCCCCACACCACAGUCCCUGAGUUCAUCUCCUCAAAGACAAUCACUCUACCAUUUUCUUGGGUACCCUUCCACUUUUCCCUCACUUGCAAUGGAAUGAUUGCUGUUUUUAUAGGAACAAAAGACACGCAGGGUCUGCCCAGCAACUGAAGAUGGGGAGAAAUGCCAUCACAGUGGCGAUCCAAUCUCACAGGGGAGGAAACGUGAGAGGCCUGACCCUUCCAUGUUCCUCGCUGAGAGGCUUAUGUGGGGUGAGGGACUGGGUCAAAACAAGGCCCAGCAAUCACAGACAACUGUUCUUGCCACUGAGUCUCCGCCACAUUCCUCAAAGCCCUGUGCACCUGAUCCACACACCCGCAUAGCUGCACAUUCACGGGGAAAGGAGCCUAAUUUCAGAACAGCUGCGGCUUCUUCACUGAGCC